Long non-coding RNA from Heterocephalus glaber (naked mole-rat), 4555 nucleotides. RefSeq lists it as uncharacterized. The record is from RefSeq and is a predicted model, not a curated record. NCBI's taxonomy places the organism in Eukaryota, Metazoa, Chordata, Mammalia, Rodentia, Bathyergidae.
UGUUCGACCUUCUAAAUGCCAAAAGACAUGGGGUAGAUCAGGUCUGGUUGAUCAUUUAUCAAGAAAGGUCCAGAAUGCCAAAGCUCAUUUCACCCUCUUACCCCAUGGUAACAGUGAGGCCGUGAUAUAAAAAGGGUUUUUACACUAGGAACAGGACAGAACAACACUGAGGCUCUUAGUGCCUGUGCUGCAGUCUCUUGAUCAAUUUCUUCCUCCCUUCCCACUCAGAUAAAUGCCUGAUUGGAUCCCACAAUCUCAGUGGGUUCAGAAAGAAAAUGGUGAGCUCAUGGGAAAAGGAGCUGAGGCCCUUUUGUUUACUCUACAGAAAUCAUUCUACUCCAAAGAUGCCAAUCAUAAUAUAAAGAUCCACUGAGGACCAAAUGAAGCUCAGGUCAGCAGAGAGAUAAGGAUGGAUAACAGUGACAUUCCCUGACUUCACUGAGUCAUGUAUCCGGUCACUCAUGCUGCAAGAAUGUGCUAUGGAGUGAUGCAUUUCUCCAGCCCUAACUAUCCUCACCAGGCAUGCAAAAGGUUGUACAAGAGACAGCCCCAGUGAAGUUACGCACACAGGCACCAUUCUGGCAACAUCUGAUAGAGGAGCAUCUCCUGCCUGAGUCCAUGCUUACCAGGCAACUUUCUGAUCAUCAUCUCACUGCCAAGGAUCUCUUCAAUAGGAAAAAGGCCAGCAUUCCAGUCUCCUUGGAGAUGGAUCUUUUAUAAAUCAGUAUUAAGGUUCACAAAAAUAAACACAGUGACUCUCAGUAGUUGAAGGAAAUUGGCACAAACACUGGUGGAAAGUAAACCCCGGUUCCCCUAAUUCCAAACCCACCUCUAUCUACAGACUUCGCCCAUCGGUACUGAACCAGCAAUGGGACAGGUUAUCUUCACAUCACUCGGGGCAGUGUCUCUGCCGCUUAGUUUCUCAGAUAAUUCCUUCUGAGGCAAAAGUGAACUCAGAUACUCUGAAGAUGUCCAAAAAUAUGUAUGGUUUAUUUUUAUUUCUAAUUAUAAAAAAUGACAUGAUUUGAAAGUUUGGGGAAAUAAUCUGGCUUUAAAGGAGUGAGCAAAAGGGAUGCACAGGACCCUGACUGCUCUGCCCUGAGUUCUGAAAGUACUUCAACUAACUGGCUUUGGGACCCAACCUUCCUGGAUUUCGGGGGGGCUUUUCGCUAAUACUGGCUCUUCCCUGCAUCUCCCUCACUCACCCAACCAUAAACAUAUUCAUACUGUAUAUAUGAAAAUAAAAAUGGAAGGCUCUGUUCAAAACUCUCCAGAGAAAUCCAGACUCUCUUCUGUUGCUCACGAUGGAAAUUGUGCCGGGUGAUCCAGCCCAAGGUGAUCCAGCCCAAGGUGAUCCACCCGGAACAGUUUGCUUGGACAUCAUCUCCUUCCUUCUCUGGCUCAGUGUGCACUCAACCACAUCCCUCCUUGCUGUUUUGGAAACACACCAGGCAUGCUCCGGACUCUGCACCUUGGCCAAUGCUCUUCCCUGUCUGAAAUGAUUGUCUGAAAUGAUUAUGGUUCUGUACGCCACUUCUUUCAGUUCUCAGGCUCCCACAAAGAGGUCUUCCCUGCUAAAAUAAAAUCCCUCCUUCCUUCCUUCCCUGCUUAUCUGUCCCUGCAGCAUAGAUCACUGCUAACACACAUCUGUCUAUAUGCACUGUCUGGCGCCCAUUAGAAUGCAGAGUCCAUGGCGAGAGGCUACAUCAAUUUUGUUUGUUGCCAUGCCCCAGACUUAAGAUGGAAUGAAGAAAGCAUACAGUAUUUGUUGAAUAAAUAAAUGAAUGGGGAAGAGAUAGUAAGUUACAGUCAUACUGACCAAACUAAAUUCCAUUAAAUGUGUGCUUUAUCCAAAAUUGAGCAGUACUCACUCUACACCUCUGACACACUGAACAACUGGAUUUGAAGUUUGUUGAUGCCUUACUCUGUCCCAUAUUGACUAGAUGAUGACUGCACAGUGAUCAGUUUACUCUGCAUUUACCUUCAGAGACCCCAUGGUCUCCUCAAGGAGGCAGAUACAUAUUUCGGAAAUUGUAGUAAGUGUUCCAAACACAAAACAACUAACCUGGAGAGGCUAGGAGGAGUUAAGGAAGAACAAGGAGAGGUCGCAGUGUGUCCUGUAUUCUAUAGACAUGUUCGUUCGCACAACCCAUCAGAAAGCAGGGACAAGCAAUUACUCCUACUCUCACCAUGCAGCCAAUCAGAGAACCCCUUGGCUUUUUGAAUUGCAAGGCAAUCCCUUUUCAUGUUGGCAUGCUUCUCCUAACAACUGCUUAAGUAUUUCUCACUAAUCCAGUUGGGAUCAACUGACAUGUGCACACACACUGAGGUUUGGUGAACCUGUCCUCCAGUAAUAAAACACUACACCCUUGGGUUUAAGAUGCACUUCCAUCCUGGAACCCACAUGCCCCAACAUGCACUCCAAGCACUGAUCAAAGCUCACGACAUGGGAUCUGCCAAAAAAUAUCUCACCAACCAAAGCACAGAGGGCCUUUCAUCACACAAACUUCCCAGCCCAGCAGGCUUUUACUGCUUAUUUACAAAGGUAACACACACACACACACACACACACACACACACACACACACGCAUGUGGCAAGUAGAAUUAAAGCUAAUUCUGGAUUUUUUCUAAAUGACUCUCUCAAGGCUUAAUAUCUUUGGUAAAUUUCGAGAAUAUCUUGAAAGGUUUGCAUAUAUGAAAUGCUUUAGAACCUCAGUCACCCUUUAUGAUAAUGCAAAUCUUCCCAAAGGUGUCCUCUUUACCCCUCUGUACUAAUUUUAGCUGUUUCUAGUCAGCAAGAGAAAAAGGAUAUUCACUAGAAAGACAGAGAAGCUGUGAGCCUAGUAAAUAUUUACUGUCUAGAAUUUAACUUCUGUUUAUCUGUAGAACCCAGAAUGUUUGUCUCAAGAUUGAAAAUACCACUACCAAUGUAAAUAAUUCAUGUCCUAACUAAUAGCUAUCAAUUUUCUCAGUCUUUCUUCAGCUUGUCUGGAUGAAAAGCAGUGAAGAAAUGGCUAUAACCUCUUCAAGAGGGGUAAGACAAAGAAUUUGUAACCAUUUUUAAUCCAUUCCAGAAACCACAAAAUGGCAAACAUUGUCUGAAACCCACUCUUAAUUUCCAAUGCUUGGUAGUAGUUUCUCUUGUUUUAUUCUGUAUUUUAGUGGUUAUUCAGUGGCUUGUAGUAGUUACCAUUUUCUAAGCACUUCUCAGAUAUGACAGGACUGUCCAGAACUCUGAGAUUCAUUCAGUCAUACUCAUGUUACAGACACCGAAAAUGAGUGUAAAAAGGUGAAAAAAUUCACCACCACAAAACAAUCUAUAAAAGGUGGAGUCACAAUUCGCACCCAGGUAGGCUUUCUCUAGGAUACCACCAUUUUACAGUUUCAUUAGUUUGUUAUUGCUCUCAAUUUUUUUUCUUUUUUUGGUGCCGGGGAUUGAACUCAGGUCCUUGCGCUUGCGCAGCAGGCGGUGAAACCACUGAGCUAAAUCCCCGGCCCUGCUCUCAAUUUUUGAUCACAUGCUAGGGAGUAUUCUGUUUAGUAAGCUUGUUUAAUAUGAUCCAUAUUGUAAUCCCUACGCAAUGCACACGUGUGUUUUUGAUAAAAAUGAAACGGCUAUGAUUAAAGGGACAGUUACUGCCAUCUCCUCCAAGUGGCUGAAGAAUUCAAGGCCUUGAAUUUCCAGAGCCCUAAAAGCAAGCGUGCUGAUAAGGAAUGGUGCACUCUUCAUCCAGCGAAUGCUCCCUUUUACUGCAAAGGACACUGGGUACCACUCUUGUCCCACUGCCUGUGCAUCCAGAGGCACCUGAAUGACUGUACCACCACAUGUGAGGUGCCAGUAUGAGAAGAACAAAGUUUUCUCUGACACAGGAACUAGGGCCUGUCCACACCUGCAGGCUGGCCUCUAGGUUCCCAGGACAGGUAGCCAAGCACUAUGGGGCUGCAGAGUGCUGAGGCCGAUGAGAAAAGCCAGAGACCAACGAAGCUGGCAGCCGAGGCUGUGAGGCAAGAGUGCGCCAGGUCUGGAGGCGGCAUAUUCCGAAUAUCACACUGAGUCCCCCAGUCAAACAAAGCAGAUCCAAGUACAGAAAUGGUUGCUGUAGGACCGGGAAUUUAGCUCAGUGGUUCUGCCAUCUGCCUCACAAGCACAAGGACCAGUUCAAUCCCUGGUACCAAAAACAAAAUAAAAAAACAAAAGACAGAAAUGGUCACUGUGGCUGGAAGCAGGUGGAAGUCAAAGUGGCAAGAAAAAGGAGGGAUGUGAUGUGAGAAAGAGGAAGUUAGGCAAAGACUGGCAGGCAAUUCGGACCCUGCACCAAUGUCAAGUCCACAUUAUUAAGAGAAUUAGUAGCUCAUCCUCCCCCUCCAUGGAACUCAGCUGCCAUUCUAGGAAGACACCUGAGCAGCUACAUACAAGGCCUUUGUCGAAGAGAAUGAGCUUAUUCAGUUUACAGGAAACCCCACCGAGCUUCCCAGCUAUGUGCUUAAACCAUCUUGGAAGUGGACAAGCCUUCUUCCCCACAAAGCUCUGCCCAAACUGUAAAAUCAUGAGCA